AGCGAACGCUGGCGGCAGGCCUAACACAUGCAAGUCGAACGAACUCUUCGGAGUUAGUGGCGGACGGGUGAGUAACACGUGGGAACGUGCCUUUAGGUUCGGAAUAACUCAGGGAAACUUUUGCUAAUACCGAAUGUGCCCUUCGGGGGAAAGAUUUAUCGCCUUUAGAGCGGCCCGCGUCUGAUUAGCUAGGUGGUGAGGUAAAGGCUCACCAAGGCGACGAUCAGUAGCUGGUCUGAGAGGAUGAUCAGCCACAUUGGGACUGAGACACGGCCCAAACUCCUACGGGAGGCAGCAGUGGGGAAUCUUGCGCAAUGGGCGAAAGCCUGACGCAGCCAUGCCGCGUGAAUGAUGAAGGUCUUAGGAUUGUAAAAUUCUUUCACCGGGGACGAUAAUGACGGUACCCGGAGAAGAAGCCCCGGCUAACUUCGUGCCAGCAGCCGCCGUAA
Molecule: ribosomal RNA, 449 nt
Filed under: uncultured bacterium
Lineage: Bacteria
Description: partial 16S ribosomal RNA
Rfam family: Bacterial small subunit ribosomal RNA
Source: RNAcentral